Molecule: long non-coding RNA, 1091 nt
Filed under: Jatropha curcas
Lineage: Eukaryota; Viridiplantae; Streptophyta; Magnoliopsida; Malpighiales; Euphorbiaceae
Description: long non-coding RNA (JCUR_LNC002885)
Source: RNAcentral
AAUUUCAUCCAAAUGCACAAUUAUGCAUAAGUAUAAUUAUAAUGAUCAUAACAUAAUAUAUAUGAGAAAAUACAAUAUGUAAAUAUAUAAAAAUGUAAUGUUAUGCAAAUGCAGUGUUGACAUGCAUUAUUUAUUAUUACUCACAGUAGUGGAGAACGAAUCCCUAACUUUGAUUUUGGUCGGAAGGAGCACUAGACGGACCCGGGCGAUCUAUGAAAUUUAAGAAUGACACAAAACAAAAGUAACUAUAUCAGAUAACAUAUUUCUUUACUACUCUAAGAAUUUUAUUUUUGUAUUCUUAAUUUUUCUACGUCAUCUAAUCUCGAUAUUAAGUUCUUUUCUGUAAUAAACUUUUAUUUUUCUACCGAACUCUAUUUUAUUUUCUACCGAAAUUUCGGCAGCAUCUCCCCUAAAAAUUUAACUAUCCACCUGUUAAAAUAUCAAUAAUAUAUCAAUAAUUCCAAACCACACAGCCCAUCCAUCGGGCAAUCAAUCAAUUUAAUUUCCUCAUCCUCCAUCCGAAUAACAAUAUCAACAUUACCUUCAAUUCUCAUUCCAUUCAUAAUAUUAUUAUCAAAAUUCCUCAAUAAAUUAUUUCAUACUGAAUUUAAUUUAACUCACUAUUGUUGUUAUUAAUCAAUAAUUACUUCAUAUUAAUUAAUCAAUAACUAUUUUGAAUUAAUUUUAACUAACUAAAUAACUACAAUUACUAACUAAAUAUUUUAUUAAUCAAUAAAUUAAACCUAUUUAAAUUAAUUUCACUACAUAAUAUGAAUUAACUACGCAAAAUAACUAAAAUUAAAUGAACUAAAUUAACUACAAUAAUAAAAUUAAUUCAAGUAACUAAAAUUAUUAAAAUUGAUUUUUACCCCAAAAUAUAAUUUUUGUCGAAUUUUGCUAGAUCGGGAGUUUUUAUGCGUGCCAGAUUGAAAAGCAGUGACUGCUGGUGGUCGGAUCCAACUAACAGUGGCGAAGAGAGGCAGAGAGAGGCGGAGGAGCGGCUGGCAGCGAGGCUUGAAGCUGGUGCUACUGUUGUAGGAGCGACAGGCCUGGCAGAGGGCUGACUGUGGUGCGCGGAGGAGCUGCGGGAC